UACGGGGGGUCCAAGCGUUGUUCGGAAUCACUGGGCGUAAAGCGCAUGUAGGUGGCUUUUCAAGUCAACUGUGAAAGCCCAGGGCCUAACCCUGGAAGUGCAGUUGAAACCGAUAAGCUUGAGUACGAGAGAGGAUAGUGGAAUUUCUGGUGUAGUGGUGAAAUACGUAGAUAUCAGAAGGAACAUCGGUGGCGAAGGCGGCUAUCUGGCUCGAUACUGACACUGAGAUGCGAAAGCGUGGGGAUCAAACAGG
This 253-nucleotide ribosomal RNA is filed under the name uncultured Bdellovibrio sp. RNAcentral's name for it is "partial 16S ribosomal RNA". It matches the Rfam family "Bacterial small subunit ribosomal RNA", at positions 524 to 776 of the family's 1533-position model. The record is from RNAcentral. Lineage: Bacteria; Pseudomonadati; Bdellovibrionota; Bdellovibrionia; Bdellovibrionales; Pseudobdellovibrionaceae.